UUUCCGUAGGUGAACCUGCGGAAGGAUCAUUAAAAAUGAAGCCGGGAAACCGGUCCUUCUCACCCUUGAUUAUCUCAAUUUGUUGCUUUGGCGGGCCGCGCAAGCACCGGCUUCGGCUGGAUCGUGCCCGCCAGAGGACCACAACUCUGUAUUAUAUGUCGUCUGAGUACUAUAAAAUAGUUAAAACUUUCAACAACGGAUCUCUUGGUUCUGGCAUCGAUGAAGAACGCAGGC
This 234-nucleotide unclassified non-coding RNA is filed under the name plant metagenome. Its description in RNAcentral is "partial contains small subunit ribosomal RNA, internal transcribed spacer 1, and 5.8S ribosomal RNA". The stretch from base 185 to 234 matches the Rfam family "5.8S ribosomal RNA", at positions 1 to 50 of the family's 154-position model. The record is from RNAcentral.